CCCCCAGUCUGCGGGGCCGCCGGGAGGGGGCGAGGCUGAGAGGAAGGGCCCGGGCAGGGCAGCGCCGGUCCCGUUCCCGUGCCCGGUCUUUAAACUUCGCAGUAUUUGGAGGGAGGCCCUGAGAAGCACCGGGUUUUACCACGCGGCUGGACCUGACCCCUACCGGCCGCUCGGUGCAAGUUGGUGUCUGCACCGGGAGCAGCUGCUGCGGGCUCGCUGGGCGAGAUCGAGCUCUAAAGAGCACAAUAGCCAACCUUAAUGCACGGGGAAUGAAAUUAACGGCUUGCAGCGAUGCAGGGAGAGGCACCAGUUUUGAGAAGAAGGCAGAAAGCCAUAAACGCGACUCGCGUCAGCAUUUCGGUUGUGUCAGAUCCAGUCACGUCCCUGCCAGCAAGAGACGUGGCAGAGAGGAGGGCAGCUGCGGAACCUGCCGGGCCUUGCCCCACUGCCCUGUGGUGGGAGGCCACAACCAGAGGCCGUGAGGUGCAGAGGUGGAAGCUCACACUGCACCGCGCAAAGCCUCGGCCCCAGGUGGGAUGUGCAACCAAAGAGAGGUUUCCAAACCCUUCAAAGUUGCCACAGCUAGGCUAG
This 591-nucleotide long non-coding RNA is filed under the name Anser cygnoides (Swan goose). RNAcentral's name for it is "lncRNA (ENSACDG00005003624.1)". The record is from RNAcentral. Lineage: Eukaryota; Metazoa; Chordata; Aves; Anseriformes; Anatidae.